UGGCGGCAAUAGCGCGGUGGUCCCACCUGACCCCAUGCCGAACUCAGAAGUGAAACGCCGUAGCGCCGAUGGUAGUG
RNAcentral lists this ribosomal RNA (77 nucleotides) under Serratia marcescens. The record is from RNAcentral. Lineage: Bacteria; Pseudomonadati; Pseudomonadota; Gammaproteobacteria; Enterobacterales; Yersiniaceae.